This 253-nucleotide ribosomal RNA is filed under the name uncultured bacterium. Its description in RNAcentral is "partial 16S ribosomal RNA". It matches the Rfam family "Bacterial small subunit ribosomal RNA", at positions 524 to 776 of the family's 1533-position model. The record is from RNAcentral.
UACGGGGGGGGCAAGCGUUGUUCGGAGUUACUGGGCGUAAAGGGCUCGUAGGCGGCCAACUAAGUCAGACGUGAAAUCCCUCGGCUUAACCGGGGAACUGCGUCUGAUACUGGAUGGCUCGAGUUUGGGAGAGGGAUGCGGAAUUCCAGGUGUAGCGGUGAAAUGCGUAGAUAUCUGGAGGAACACCGGUGGCGAAGGCGGCAUCCUGGACCAACACUGACGCUGAUGAGCGAAAGCCAGGGGAGCAAACGGG